CGACGUCUGUUCCUCUUCCUGUGUGAAGUCAAUCAGGAGGAUUUAAGAUGUCGCAGAGCAAAUUGAGUCUUUUUCACCCAGAAAGCUUCAGGCAGCAGCAGCCAAUCAUCACACGGCUUCCUGGUUUUGCGAGACUCAACAAAC
Small nucleolar RNA from Acanthopagrus latus (yellowfin seabream), 144 nucleotides. RefSeq annotates it as small nucleolar RNA SNORA79. The record is from RefSeq and is a predicted model, not a curated record. The transcript has a single exon. NCBI's taxonomy places the organism in Eukaryota, Metazoa, Chordata, Actinopteri, Spariformes, Sparidae.